Long non-coding RNA from Cyclopterus lumpus (lumpfish), 816 nucleotides. RefSeq lists it as uncharacterized. The transcript is spliced from 2 exons. Lineage: Eukaryota; Metazoa; Chordata; Actinopteri; Perciformes; Cyclopteridae. The record is from RefSeq and is a predicted model, not a curated record.
UGCAAGUGAACUUCUGUGUCGGUCUAGGCAACACUAUAUCAUCAAAAUGCACCUAACUUUAAACAUGCACAGUGAUUUCUUUUUGAGGAAAACAUCAUUUGGAUGUUUUGAUUGAUAGUUGAAUGCGUCCUAUCGGCGGAAAUGAAAUAUGUUUUUCUUUUACAAUUAAUACAAAAGAAAACUUGGGUUCUGAUUGUGUGUGCUUAUCGUUAGGAUAUCUGAGAUCUAAAAGGAGGUAAGCCACUGACUAACGCACAUUGUGCCAGUUACCAUAUCCACUGUGCGUGUGACAGCGGCUAACCUGGUUUUGGGAACACUUCUCAUCUGUGGCUCGUCCGAGACCAGCCACAGGCAGACCAGACACCUCCAUCUAUAAGCAGUCCCCCUUGAUCAUGUCCCGUGCAGAUUGCUGGGACAGGCCUGCUAAACAUGACUGCCCACCCAGCGGCCUCCAUGUGUAGUGUAGCCUACUUUCUCUUAUACAGUAUGUUCACAUCCUGUAUCUUAUUCAGGGCCAGUGUCCUUGCAAUGCCGCCUACUGUCAAGACUAUUGGUGAGUGUUUUAUUUCAGUUUCUUUUUCAGCUUUGUGGUUUAGACAUGACAAUCAUCGGCCAUUCUGGUUCCCAUUUUGAGGUCAGGGGAUUCUUGAAGAAGUUCCUCGGGUGCCCUCCAGCUAAAAUGAGCAUUAUACGAUAAACACACAGAACUUACAGUUAUACAGUAAUGUGUCCACCCCUUUACAGUAAAAUAAGCUGUUUUCCAGUUUGUAUACAAGUGUGUCGCCUGUAAUAAAAUCCAAGUCAAUUGUAUCCAAA